GCCAGGUGUGGUGGUGCAUAUUUGUAAUCCCAGCAGCUGGGGAGGCUGAGGUAGGAGGAUCACUAGUUCAAAGCCAGCCUCAGCAAAAGUGAGGCACUAAGCAACUCAGUGAGACCCUGUCUCUA
RNAcentral lists this small RNA (125 nucleotides) under Marmota monax (woodchuck). Lineage: Eukaryota; Metazoa; Chordata; Mammalia; Rodentia; Sciuridae. The record is from RNAcentral.